UUUAAAUGGUUGAGCUUAUCAAG
RNAcentral lists this non-coding RNA (23 nucleotides) under Rattus norvegicus (Norway rat). Lineage: Eukaryota; Metazoa; Chordata; Mammalia; Rodentia; Muridae. The record is from RNAcentral.